UAGCUAGGCCCUUCCUGUAACAUUGAA
RNAcentral lists this non-coding RNA (27 nucleotides) under Mus musculus (house mouse). The record is from RNAcentral. Lineage: Eukaryota; Metazoa; Chordata; Mammalia; Rodentia; Muridae.